This 253-nucleotide ribosomal RNA is filed under the name uncultured bacterium. RNAcentral describes it as "partial 16S ribosomal RNA". It matches the Rfam family "Bacterial small subunit ribosomal RNA", at positions 524 to 776 of the family's 1533-position model. The record is from RNAcentral.
GACGAACCGUGCAAACGUUGUUCGGAAUCACUGGGCUUAAAGGGCGCGUAGGCGGGCGAUCAAGUCUGGGGUGAAAUCUUUCGGCUUAACCGGAAAAGAGCCUCGGAUACUGGUCGUCUCGAGGGAGGUAGGGGCAUGCGGAACUUCCGGUGGAGCGGUGAAAUGCGUAGAUAUCGGAAGGAACGCCGGUGGCGAAAGCGGCGUGCUGGACCUCUUCUGACGCUGAGGCGCGAAAGCCAGGGGAGCAAACGGG